AAUUUGAAAUCUGGCCUUCGGGUCCGAGUUGUAAUUUGUAGAGGAUGCUUUUGGUGCAGUGCCUUCCGAGUUCCUUGGAACAGGACGCCUUAGAGGGUGAGAGCCCCGUACGGUUGGACACUAAGCCUCUGUAAAGCUCCUUCGACGAGUCGAGUAGUUUGGGAAUGCUGCUCUAAAUGGGAGGUAAAUUUCUUCUAAAGCUAAAUACCGGCCAGAGACCGAUAGCGCACAAGUAGAGUGAUCGAAAGAUGAAAAGUACUUUGAAAAGAGGGUUAAAUAGCACGUGAAAUUGUUGAAAGGGAAGCGUUUAUGACCAGACCUUUGCCGGGCGGAUCAUCCGGUGUUCUUCACCGGUGCACUUCGCUCGGCUUAGGCCAGCAUCGAUUUCGGCAGGGGGACAAAGACCAUGGGAACGUAGCUCUCUUCGGGGAGUGUUAUAGCCCUAGGUGUAAUACCCUUGCGGGGAUCGAGGUUCGCGCUUCUGCAAGGAUGCUGGCGUAAUGGUCAUCAACGACCCGUCUUGAAACACGGACCAAGGAGUCGAACAUUUAUGCGAGUGUUUGGGUGUUAAACCCUCACGCGUAAUGAAAGUGAACGGAGGUGAGAGCCCUCUUUUGGGUGCAUCAUCGACCGAUCCUGAUGUAUUCGGAAGGAUUUGAGUAAGAGCAUAACUGUUCGGACCCGAAAGAUGGUGAACUAUGCGUGGAUAGGGUGAAGCCAGAGGAAACUCUGGUGGAGGCUCGCAGCGGUUCUGACG
RNAcentral lists this ribosomal RNA (757 nucleotides) under Eutypa cerasi. Its description in RNAcentral is "Eutypa sp. SL-2021a partial large subunit ribosomal RNA". It matches the Rfam family "Eukaryotic large subunit ribosomal RNA", at positions 112 to 891 of the family's 3401-position model. The record is from RNAcentral. Lineage: Eukaryota; Fungi; Ascomycota; Sordariomycetes; Xylariales; Diatrypaceae.